UCCUACGGGAGGCAGCAGUGGGGAAUUUUCCGCAAUGGGCGAAAGCCUGACGGAGCAAUACCGCGUGAGGGAAGACUGCCUAUGGGUUGUAAACCUCUUUUUUCAGGGAGGAAUCAAUGACGUGUACCUGAAGAAUAAGCAUCGGCUAACUCCGUGCCAGCAGCCGCGGUAAGACGGAGGAUGCAAGUGUUAUCCGGAAUCACUGGGCGUAAAGCGUCUGUAGGUGGUUUAAUAAGUCAACUGUUAAAUCUUGAGGCUCAACUUCAAAAUCGCAGUCGAAACUAUUAGACUAGAGUAUAGUAGAGGUAAAGGGAAUUUCCAGUGGAGCGGUGAAAUGCGUAGAUAUUGGAAAGAACACCGAUGGCGAAAGCACUUUACUGGGCUAUUACUAACACUCAGAGACGAAAGCUAGGGUAGCAAAUGGGAUUAGAUACCCCAGUAGUCCUAGCCGUAAACAAUGGAUACUAGAUGUUGAACAGAUCGACCUGUGCAGUAUCAAAGCUAACGCGUUAAGUAUCCCGCCUGGGAAGUAUGCUCGCAAGAGUGAAACUCAAAUGAAUUGACGGA
This 567-nucleotide ribosomal RNA is filed under the name uncultured bacterium. RNAcentral describes it as "bacterial SSU rRNA". It matches the Rfam family "Bacterial small subunit ribosomal RNA", at positions 337 to 917 of the family's 1533-position model. The record is from RNAcentral.